This 1049-nucleotide long non-coding RNA is filed under the name Bemisia tabaci. RNAcentral describes it as "lncRNA ENSSSA3NGG001807". Lineage: Eukaryota; Metazoa; Arthropoda; Insecta; Hemiptera; Aleyrodidae. The record is from RNAcentral.
GGGUUGGAAAAUAGCAUAGAAUAAAUUUCUUUCAACAAGUUUACCCAACUUUGCAGUGCCACUCUUACUUUAAGAAGAAAAAGAUUGCACACAAUUUCUCAGUUUUCAGUGCAAUGAAACUGGAUCUUGGAAAAACACAUCAGUCAUUAAUCAUUGAUAGAAAUGUGAGCUAAAGAAAUAUUUGUACCAAAAUUUUGAGGUGAAAACUCUUAAUUUAUCAUUAAAUUGAAAACAUAUUUCUAGGCUGUGUUUGCUGAAUUAGCAAAAAAGUAACAAAAGAAGACAUUCAGAUCAGCCUUGGAUUCUACCAUUUCCAUAUCGAUGCUAUGGACAGGAUUAUCAAUGGUAAUCUAUCGCCUGAAUUCUUGCGAUGCUUGAAAAUAGCUCUUUGUUUCUUGGAUUUUAAAGCCUCUGAUGAUCUGAGAAGAUAUCUUCAUGAAAACGUAGAUCAAGGUACAUUGAGAAAUUUUUACUUCAAAGCUUACUUAUCUCAGUUACAGCGAAACACGCACUUAUGAAUGUACAUCUACUCUACUUUGUUGCCAAAUGUAUAUUAAACGUUAGACAACUUAAUGUAUAUUGGAAAUUGCAAUUGUAUAUUAUCUAAUUUAUUACUAGCAGUUGAUGAUUCAAUUUUAGUUGCAAAAAUAGAGAAAACUCUCAAGUUUACCUUCAGUUAAUUUUAUUGUACUGCCACCAAGGUAUCUGCAAGAAAUCCAUGUCCCAAAAUAAUAUAUCGGAGUACUUUCUACUGCUGUCAUUAUGUAUGGCUGCCGUUUUUGUCAUGAAUACCUUUGUAUUUCGGAGAAUAAGGAGAAAAAUUUUUAAAAGAAUUUGACCAUCUCAUGCAUGAAAUUUUAUUUUAUUUCGUAUUUUUUUGCCAUUUUGAGACAGGAUUUCUGGCUUCUCAUUCAAAUUACACAUAUUACUGUUGUGCUGGAGUUUAUACAUUUCAUUUUAUAUUUAGCUCUUGACCUAUCAUAUGUAAAUCUUAAAUGAUCAAAUGGCCCUAUUUUAUAAGAAUAAUGCAAAUAUAUCUGAAAAAUUCU